Long non-coding RNA from Pipra filicauda (Wire-tailed manakin), 1269 nucleotides. RefSeq lists it as uncharacterized. Lineage: Eukaryota; Metazoa; Chordata; Aves; Passeriformes; Pipridae. The record is from RefSeq and is a predicted model, not a curated record. The transcript is spliced from 3 exons.
GCACGGCGGCGGGCACGGGGCCCUCGGGGCACGCAGGGCGGCGCCGCUGCGGCCCGGCCCUCGGCGGGAGGGCCCCGCUCCUGCGCCGCUCUCUGUGUCACAGACAGGCUCUCCGGCAGAGCGGGGGCUUGGGGGAAGCUAGCGCGUCAAGGCGUCAGCCUGCUUAUUUUUGUCAUUAACAGCCGUUGCAUAAUCCGUCAAAUCUGUUCUGCUCCUGGAAGAGCAUCGCUGCCAAUCCUGUCCCUACCGCUCACCCCAGUAAUUGCAAUACAGCCCUCAAGCAAGCCAGACAUAACUCUCAGCUGCGACAUUAGAGGACAAGGAAUCCUUCCCUUUACUCUUAGCACUGCUUAGAGAGGUGCUUCUACUAUUUGAGUCACGAGUGAGUCUGGGAUCAAACACAACAACACAGAGAUAAUCUCCCUGUAUCUUGCAACUUUAACUACUCUGACAUCUGCUGGAGAAGCCACACUGAAGCACAAACAGUCCAGGAAGUUUGUGAAAAACAUUGAUGACAACUUCCUGUCACAGGUAGUGAAGGAUCCCACAAGGUGUGCUACUCAACCUUAUACUAACAGGGAACGCCUCAUUGGAGAUGUGAAGGUUGGGGACAGCCUUGGCUGUGGUGGCCAUGAGAUUGUGGAGUUCAGUAUCAGAUGAGGAGGAAACAGAGCAGCAAGUAAGGUUGCAACCACAGAUUUCAGGAGAGCUAACUUUAGCCUCUUCAGGGAUCUUCUUGGGAGAAUCCCAUGGGAACAGGCCCUUCAGGGAAGAGGGAUCCAAGAGAACUGGUUGAUAUUCAAGGAUCACUUCUUCCAGGCUCAAGAAUGGUGCAUCCCAAAGAGCAAGAACUCCUGUCAUUACUCAAGUGUAAGCAAGAAAUACAUAGGAGAUAGAAGAAGGGUCAGGCAAUUCGGAAUGAAUAUAGGGAUGUUGUCAGAGUGAAUAGAAAUGAAACAAGGACGGAAAAGACCCAUCUGGAAUUAAAUCUGGCCAAGAAUGUCAAAGACAACAAGAAGGGCUUCUUCAAAUAUAUCAGUAACAAAAGAAAAACUAAGGAAAACUAAUACCUGAUGGGAUGCAUCCACAACUGCUGAGAAAGCUGGUGGACACAAUAGCUAGGCUGCUGACAAUCAUCUUUGAAAGGUUGUGGCAAUAAAGGGAAGUGGUGCUAAGCAAUAGGACAAGAGGCAAUGGGCAGAAACAGAUACACAGGAAGUUCCACCUUAAUAUGAGGAAGAACUUCUUUACAAUUGUGAUGGACUGAAA